GGUUAAGCGACUAAGCGUACACGGUGGAUGCCCUGGCAGUCAGAGGCGAUGAAGGACGUGCUAAUCUGCGAUAAGCGUCGGUAAGGUGAUAUGAACCGUUAUAACCGGCGAUUUCCGAAUGGGGAAACCCAGUGUGUUUCGACACACUAUCAUUAACUGAAUCCAUAGGUUAAUGAGGCGAACCGGGGGAACUGAAACAUCUAAGUACCCCGAGGAAAAGAAAUCAACCGAGAUUCCCCCAGUAGCGGCGAGCGAACGGGGAGCAGCCCAGAGCCUGAAUCAGUGUGUGUGUUAGUGGAAGCGUCUGGAAAGGCGCGCGAUACAGGGUGACAGCCCCGUACACAAAAAUGCACAUGCUGUGAGCUCGAUGAGUAGGGCGGGACACGUGGUAUCCUGUCUGAAUAUGGGGGGACCAUCCUCCAAGGCUAAAUACUCCUGACUGACCGAUAGUGAACCAGUACCGUGAGGGAAAGGCGAAAAGAACCCCGGCGAGGGGAGUGAAAAAGAACCUGAAACCGUGUACGUACAAGCAGUGGGAGCACGCUUAGGCGUGUGACUGCGUACCUUUUGUAUAAUGGGUCAGCGACUUAUAUUCUGUAGCAAGGUUAACCGAAUAGGGGAGCCGAAGGGAAACCGAGUCUUAACUGGGCGUUAAGUUGCAGGGUAUAGACCCGAAACCCGGUGAUCUAGCCAUGGGCAGGUUGAAGGUUGGGUAACACUAACUGGAGGACCGAACCGACUAAUGUUGAAAAAUUAGCGGAUGACUUGUGGCUGGGGGUGAAAGGCCAAUCAAACCGGGAGAUAGCUGGUUCUCCCCGAAAGCUAUUUAGGUAGCGCCUCGUGAAUUCAUCUCCGGGGGUAGAGCACUGUUUCGGCAAGGGGGUCAUCCCGACUUACCAACCCGAUGCAAACUGCGAAUACCGGAGAAUGUUAUCACGGGAGACACACGGCGGGUGCUAACGUCCGUCGUGAAGAGGGAAACAACCCAGACCGCCAGCUAAGGUCCCAAAGUCAUGGUUAAGUGGGAAACGAUGUGGGAAGGCCCAGACAGCCAGGAUGUUGGCUUAGAAGCAGCCAUCAUUUAAAGAAAGCGUAAUAGCUCACUGGUCGAGUCGGCCUGCGCGGAAGAUGUAACGGGGCUAAACCAUGCACCGAAGCUGCGGCAGCGACGCUUAUGCGUUGUUGGGUAGGGGAGCGUUCUGUAAGCCUGUGAAGGUGUGCUGUGAGGCAUGCUGGAGGUAUCAGAAGUGCGAAUGCUGACAUAAGUAACGAUAAAGCGGGUGAAAAGCCCGCUCGCCGGAAGACCAAGGGUUCCUGUCCAACGUUAAUCGGGGCAGGGUGAGUCGACCCCUAAGGCGAGGCCGAAAGGCGUAGUCGAUGGGAAACAGGUUAAUAUUCCUGUACUUGGUGUUACUGCGAAGGGGGGACGGAGAAGGCUAUGUUGGCCGGGCGACGGUUGUCCCGGUUUAAGCGUGUAGGCUGGUUUUCCAGGCAAAUCCGGAAAAUCAAGGCUGAGGCGUGAUGACGAGGCACUACGGUGCUGAAGCAACAAAUGCCCUGCUUCCAGGAAAAGCCUCUAAGCAUCAGGUAACAUCAAAUCGUACCCCAAACCGACACAGGUGGUCAGGUAGAGAAUACCAAGGCGCUUGAGAGAACUCGGGUGAAGGAACUAGGCAAAAUGGUGCCGUAACUUCGGGAGAAGGCACGCUGAUAUGUAGGUGAAGUCCCUCGCGGAUGGAGCUGAAAUCAGUCGAAGAUACCAGCUGGCUGCAACUGUUUAUUAAAAACACAGCACUGUGCAAACACGAAAGUGGACGUAUACGGUGUGACGCCUGCCCGGUGCCGGAAGGUUAAUUGAUGGGGUUAGCGGUAA
Molecule: ribosomal RNA, 1873 nt
Filed under: Escherichia coli
Lineage: Bacteria; Pseudomonadati; Pseudomonadota; Gammaproteobacteria; Enterobacterales; Enterobacteriaceae
Also listed under: 1 other name
Description: partial 23S ribosomal RNA
Rfam family: Bacterial large subunit ribosomal RNA
Source: RNAcentral